CCUACGGGGGGCAGCAGUGGGGAAUAUUGCACAAUGGGGGAAACCCUGAUGCAGCGACGCCGCGUGAGUGAAGAAGUAUUUCGGUAUGUAAAGCUCUAUCAGCAGGGAAGAAAAUGACGGUACCUGAUUAAGAAGCCCCGGCUAACUACGUGCCAGCAGCCGCGGUAAUACGGAGGAUGCGAGCGUUAUCCGGAUUUAGUGGGUUUAAAGGGUGCGUAGGCGGAUUUUUAAGUCAGCGGGAAAAUGUCCGGGCUCAACCCGGGCCGGCCGUUGAAACUGGGGAUCUUGAGUGGGCGAGAGGUAUGCGGAAUGAGUGGUGUAGCGGUGAAAUGCAUAGAUAUCACGCAGAACUCCGAUUGCGAAGGCAGCAUACCGGCGCCCGACUGACGCUGAGGCACGAAAGCGUGGGGAUCGAACAGGAUUAGAUACCCUAGUAGUC
Molecule: ribosomal RNA, 439 nt
Filed under: uncultured bacterium
Lineage: Bacteria
Description: partial 16S ribosomal RNA
Rfam family: Bacterial small subunit ribosomal RNA
Source: RNAcentral